Molecule: unclassified non-coding RNA, 191 nt
Filed under: uncultured cyanobacterium
Lineage: Bacteria; Bacillati; Cyanobacteriota
Description: partial 16S-23S ribosomal RNA intergenic spacer
Source: RNAcentral
CGGUUCGAGUCCCUUACCUCCUCUGAUCACACUCCUAAUGGCGAAAAAAAGGAGAUUAACUUUGUUUUGUGACUUAGAGAUUGUUUUAACUGGAUCAAUAACCUAGCUUCCUAUCAUUCCAGGUCUAAUUAUUAGAUGAGGAGACAGGACGGUGGGCUCACAUAAGUAUUGAAUGAAGAAGUGAUUCAGUA